UACGGGGGGGGCAAGCGCUGUUCGGAAUUACUGGGCGUAAAGGGCGUGUAGGUGGCCAACUAAGUCAGACGUGAAAUCCCUCGGCUUAACCGGGGAACUGCGUCUGAUACUGGAUGGCUUGAGUUUGGGAGAGGGAUGCGGAAUUCCAGGUGUAGCGGUGAAAUGCGUAGAUAUCUGGAGGAACACCGGUGGCGAAGGCGGCAUCCUGGACCAAUACUGACACUAAAGCGCGAAAGCCAGGGGAGCAAACGGG
This 253-nucleotide ribosomal RNA is filed under the name uncultured bacterium. RNAcentral's name for it is "partial 16S ribosomal RNA". It matches the Rfam family "Bacterial small subunit ribosomal RNA", at positions 524 to 776 of the family's 1533-position model. The record is from RNAcentral.